RNAcentral lists this ribosomal RNA (683 nucleotides) under Clostridioides difficile. RNAcentral's name for it is "bacterial LSU rRNA". It matches the Rfam family "Bacterial large subunit ribosomal RNA", at positions 2239 to 2925 of the family's 2925-position model. Lineage: Bacteria; Bacillati; Bacillota; Clostridia; Peptostreptococcales; Peptostreptococcaceae. The record is from RNAcentral.
UCUGGUCUUGGGACACUGUCAGGUGGGCAGUUUGACUGGGGCGGUCGCCUCCCAAAAGGUAACGGAGGCGCUCAAAGGUUCUCUCAGUACGGUCGGAAAUCGUACGUAGAGUGUAAAGGCAAAAGAGAGCUUGAUUGCAAGACAUACAGGUCGAGCAAGGAUGAAAAUCGGACUUAGUGAUCCGGUGGUUCUGCGUGGAAGGGCCAUCGCUCAACGGAUAAAAGCUACCCUGGGGAUAACAGGCUUAUCUCCCCCAAGAGUCCACAUCGACGGGGAGGUUUGGCACCUCGAUGUCGGCUCAUCACAUCCUGGGGCUGUAGUAGGUCCCAAGGGUUGGGCUGUUCGCCCAUUAAAGUGGUACGCGAGCUGGGUUCAGCACGUCGUGAGACAGUUCGGUCCCUAUCCGUCGCAGGCGUAGGAAAUUUGAGAAGACCUGUCCUUAGUCCGGGGGGACCGGACUGGACGUCCCUCGGGAGUACCAGUGGUCCUGCCAAGGGCAUGGCUGGGUAGCUAUGUACGGAAAGGAUAAGCUCUGAAAGCAUCUAAGCGCGAUGCCAACUUCAAGAUAACAUUUCCUACCGCAAGGGUAAGACCCCAGAAAGGAUAUCUGGUUGAUAGGUCGAAGGUGUAAGUGCAGCAAUGUAUUUAGCUUAUCGAUACUAAUAGGGCGAGGACUUGACCAA